AACGAACGCUGGCGGCAGGCUUAACACAUGCAAGUCGAGCGCCUCGCAAGAGGAGCGGCAGACGGGUGAGUAACGCGUGGGAACGUACCCUUAUCUUCGGACUAGCUCUGGGAAACUGGAAGUAAUACCGAAUGUGCCCUUAGAGGGAAAGAUUUAUCGGAUAAGGAUCGGCCCGCGUUGGAUUAGCUAGUUGGUGGGGUAAAGGCCUACCAAGGCGACGAUCCAUAGCUGGUCUGAGAGGAUGAUCAGCCACAUUGGGACUGAGACACGGCCCAAACUCCUACGGGAAGCAGCAGUGGGGAAUAUUGGACAAUGGGCGCAAGCCUGAUCCAGCCAUGCCGCGUGAGUGAUGAAGGCCGUAGGGUUGUAAAGCUCUUUCACCGGAGAAGAUAAUGACGGUAUCCGGAGAAGAAGCCCCGGCUAACUUCGUG
RNAcentral lists this ribosomal RNA (431 nucleotides) under uncultured bacterium. RNAcentral describes it as "partial 16S ribosomal RNA". It matches the Rfam family "Bacterial small subunit ribosomal RNA", at positions 29 to 507 of the family's 1533-position model. The record is from RNAcentral.